GACAGAGGUGCCGAGCGUUAGGCGGAAUCACUGGGCUUAAAGCGUGUGUAGGCGGAUCGUUAAGUACCUUGUGAAAUCCCACGGCUCAACCGUGGAACUGCCAUUGAUACUAUCAGUCUUGAAUACCGUGGAGGUCAGCGGAAUAUGUCAUGUAGCGGUGAAAUGCUUAGAUAUGACAUAGAACACCAAUUGCGAAGGCAGCUGGCUACUCGGAUAUUGACACUGAGGCACGAAAGCGUGGGGAUCAAACAGG
This 253-nucleotide ribosomal RNA is filed under the name uncultured bacterium. RNAcentral's name for it is "partial 16S ribosomal RNA". It matches the Rfam family "Bacterial small subunit ribosomal RNA", at positions 524 to 776 of the family's 1533-position model. The record is from RNAcentral.